RNAcentral lists this ribosomal RNA (238 nucleotides) under Lactobacillus delbrueckii subsp. bulgaricus. RNAcentral's name for it is "partial 16S ribosomal RNA". It matches the Rfam family "Bacterial small subunit ribosomal RNA", at positions 1306 to 1533 of the family's 1533-position model. RNAcentral also lists the same sequence under 1 other name. The record is from RNAcentral. Lineage: Bacteria; Bacillati; Bacillota; Bacilli; Lactobacillales; Lactobacillaceae.
UGCAACUCGCCUGCACGAAGCUGGAAUCGCUAGUAAUCGCGGAUCAGCACGCCGCGGUGAAUACGUUCCCGGGCCUUGUACACACCGCCCGUCACACCAUGGAAGUCUGCAAUGCCCAAAGUCGGUGGGAUAACCUUUAUAGGAGUCAGCCGCCUAAGGCAGGGCAGAUGACUGGGGUGAAGUCGUAACAAGGUAGCCGUAGGAGAACCUGCGGCUGGAUCACCUCCUUUCUAAGGAA